RNAcentral lists this ribosomal RNA (468 nucleotides) under uncultured bacterium. RNAcentral describes it as "partial 16S ribosomal RNA". It matches the Rfam family "Bacterial small subunit ribosomal RNA", at positions 28 to 507 of the family's 1533-position model. The record is from RNAcentral.
GACGAACGCUGGCGGCGUGCUUAACACAUGCAAGUCGAACGGAAAGGCCCUGCUUUUGUGGGGUGCUCGAGUGGCGAACGGGUGAGUAACACGUGAGUAACCUGCCCUUGACUUUGGGAUAACUUCAGGAAACUUGUGCUAAUACCGGAUAGGAGCUCCUGCUGCAUUGUGGGGGUUGGAUAGUUUCGGCGGUUGGGGAUGGACUCGCGGCUUAUCAGCUUGUUGGUGGGGUAGUGGCUUACCAAGGCUUUGACGGGUAGCCGGCCUGAGAGGGUGACCGGCGACAAUGGGACUGAGAUACGGCCCAGACUCCUACGGGAGGCAGCAGUGGGGAAUAUUGCACAAUGGGAGGAAGCCUGAUGAAGAAACGCAGCGUGCGGGAUGACGGCCUUCGGGUUGUAAACAGAUUUAGACUGAGACGAAGCGUGAGUGACGGUAAUGGGUAAAGAAGCACCGGCUAACUACGUG